RNAcentral lists this ribosomal RNA (1516 nucleotides) under uncultured bacterium. Its description in RNAcentral is "partial 16S ribosomal RNA". It matches the Rfam family "Bacterial small subunit ribosomal RNA". The record is from RNAcentral.
GAGUUUGAUCCUGGCUCAGGACGAACGCUGGCGGCGUGCUUAACACAUGCAAGUCAAGGGGGCGGAGCAAUCCGCAACCGGCGAACGGGUGCGUAACACGUGAGCAACCUGCCGAUCCGCGGGGGAUAGCCGGGCUAACGCCCGGGUAAUACCGCAUACGGUUCUCUGGGGGGGUCCCUGGGGAAGGAAACCUUUGGGGCGGAUCGAGGGGCUCGCGGCCUAUCAGCUAGUUGGGGGGGUAACGGCCCACCAAGGCGACGACGGGUAGCUGGUCUGAGAGGAUGGCCAGCCACAUUGGGACUGAGAGACGGCCCAGACUCCUACGGGAGGCAGCAGUGGGGAAUCUUGCGCAAUGGUCUAACGACUGACGCAGCGACGCCGCGUGUGGGAGGACGCCUUUCGGGGUGUAAACCACUGUUGCCCGGGACGAACAGGGUCAUUCAUGGCCCCUGACGGUACCGGGUGAGGAAGCACCGGCUAACUCCGUGCCAGCAGCCGCGGUAAUACGGGAGGGUGCGAGCGUUGUCCGGAAUCAUUGGGCGUAAAGGGCGCGUAGGUGGCACGGCAAGCGUGCGGUGAAAGCCUGGGGCUCCACCCCCGGGUCGGCCGUGCGAACCGCCGGGCUGGAGCACUGUAGAGGCAGGUGGAAUUCCGCGUGUAGCAGUGAAAUGCGUAGAGAUGCGGAGGAACACCGAUGGCGAAGGCAGCCCCCUGGGCUAACACUGACGCUGAGGCACGAAAGCGUGGGGAGCAAACAGGAUUAGAUACCCUGGUAGUCCACGCCCUAAACGAUGAUCACUAGGUGUUGGGGAAAGCGAUUUUCCAGUACCGUAGCUAACGCGUGAAGUGAUCCGCCUGGGGAGUACGGUCGCAAGAUUAAAACUCAAAGGAAUUGACGGGGACCCGCACAAAGCGGUGGAUGAUGUGGAUUAAUUCGAUGCAACGCGAACAACCUUACCUACCCUUGACAUGUCCGGAAGCCUGCUGAAAGGCGGGUGUGCUCGAAAGAGAACUGGAACACAGGUGCUGCAUGGCUGUCGUCAGCUCGUGUCGUGAGAUGUUGGGUUAAGUCCCGCAACGAGCGCAACCCUUGUCCUUAGUUGCUACGCAAGGGCACUCUAAGGAGACUGCCGGUGACAAACCGGAGGAAGGUGGGGAUGACGUCAAGUCCUCAUGGCCCUUAUGGGUAGGGCUUCACACGUCAUACAAUGGACGGUACAGAGGGUCGCCAACCCGCGAGGGGGAGCCAAUCCCGAUAAAGCCGUUCGUAGUCCGGAUUGCAGUCUGCAACUCGACUGCAUGAAGUCGGAAUCGCUAGUAAUCGCGGAUCAGCAUUGCUGCGGUGAAUACGUUCCCGGGCCUUGUACACACCGCCCGUCACACCACGAAAGUCGGCAACACCCGAAGCCGGUGGCCCAACCUUAGGGAGGGAGCCGUCGAAGGUGGGGUUGGCGAUUGGGGUGAAGUCGUAACAAGGUAGCCGUACCGGAAGGUGCGGCUGGAUCACCUCCUUCCU